RNAcentral lists this transfer RNA (72 nucleotides) under Anaerolineaceae bacterium. Its description in RNAcentral is "tRNA-Met". It matches the Rfam family "tRNA". Rfam says of the family: Transfer RNA (tRNA) molecules are approximately 80 nucleotides in length. Their secondary structure includes four short double-helical elements and three loops (D, anti-codon, and T loops). Further hydrogen bonds mediate the characteristic L-shaped molecular structure. tRNAs have two regions of fundamental functional importance: the anti-codon, which is responsible for specific mRNA codon recognition, and the 3' end, to which the tRNAs corresponding amino acid is attached (by aminoacyl-tRNA synthetases). tRNAs cope with the degeneracy of the genetic code in two manners: having more than one tRNA (with a specific anti-codon) for a particular amino acid; and 'wobble' base-pairing, i.e. permitting non-standard base-pairing at the 3rd anti-codon position. Lineage: Bacteria; Bacillati; Chloroflexota; Anaerolineae; Anaerolineales; Anaerolineaceae. The record is from RNAcentral.
GGGCCUAUAGCUCAAAGGCAGAGCACACGCCUCAUAAGCGUUCGGUUGUAGGUUCGAAUCCUACUGGGCCCA